GAAACCUGGAGAUCAAGUAGCUGUGUUAGAUCCUAAUGCAUGAAAUAAAGAGCUUGAAAUUUACAUGACGAAACCUGGAGAUCAAGUAGCUAUGGCAGCAUGCCACUUGUGCGCCUGCAACACCCGACGAAGCUGACGAUAACCAUCCUGGUAAUGCUCCAAGGAGAAGCACAGCUGCCUUAUCGCCUCCCUCUUCCCUUCAGCGCUGUCAAAGAUCACCACCCUCUGCCUGUCCACCUCCUCCUCCAGCUCACUGACCCUCGAGCGCAGCCCAACAGCUUCUUUCCGAGUCUCCUCUAAUUCAGUGAUCAGUUUGACGUGCUCCAAAUGCAACUGAUGCAGGUGCUCAUUCAGCUCAUAUAUUCGUCCAUCCCGAGAUUUCACAUCCAUGAUGAGUGCGUUCACCUUAGCAGCAAGCUCCUCAUUUUGGUGAACAGCAAGCUCCUCUUUUUCGGACGAUAGCCUGUCAACAUCAAGC
This 478-nucleotide unclassified non-coding RNA is filed under the name Hevea brasiliensis (rubber tree). The record is from RNAcentral. Lineage: Eukaryota; Viridiplantae; Streptophyta; Magnoliopsida; Malpighiales; Euphorbiaceae.